Molecule: transfer RNA, 77 nt
Filed under: Candidatus Nomurabacteria bacterium
Lineage: Bacteria; Candidatus Nomuraibacteriota
Description: tRNA-Val
Rfam family: tRNA
About the family: Transfer RNA (tRNA) molecules are approximately 80 nucleotides in length. Their secondary structure includes four short double-helical elements and three loops (D, anti-codon, and T loops).
Source: RNAcentral
GGGUUUGUAGCUCAGUUGGCUAGAGCGCACGAUUCACAUUCGUGAGGCCGCAGGUUCGAGCCCUGCCAGACCCACCA